UCAAAGAAACUAAAAGUGAGUGGCUUUCUUUUUAAAGAUAACGAACUUGCUAGAAUAUCUCAGAACGAAGGUGAGAUAUUACCUACACUUAAGUGAGUUAUGAUCAUCUCUCAUCCCAUUUGAAGCAUUGUUUUGCUUAUUGUCGACUAUAUCCAAAAGAUCAUGAAAUUGAUGUACAAGAACUUGUUCAAUUUUGGAUUGCACAAGGUUUUGUAAAGCAAUUGAAUCCAAGUCAAUCUCUUGUGGAGAUCGGAUUUGGAUAUUUUAAAGAUUUAGUUGAAAGAAGUUUCUUUCAAGAGGUAGAAGAAUAUGGAUUUGAGGAUAUGACAUGUAAAAUGCAUGAUUUAAUGCAUGAUCUAGCUGAAUCAGUAGCAGGGAUGGAGAGUAGUAUUGUAGAUUCAAAUAAAAUUGCAAGUGAUGUUGGUGAAAAAUGUCGCCACAUAUCAAUUAAACCUUCAUUAAUUCCUUUGUUUAAGGGAAAGAAGUUGCGAACCUUGUUACAUUUUCAAUACGAAUUAAGUCAAGAUUUCAGCUAUGAAACUUGGGAUUUGAUAAUUGCAAAUUGCAGAUGCUUGCGUGUAUUGAAAUUGAAUUCUAUAGGUAUUCAUAAGAUUUCACCCUCCAUUUGUAAGUUGAAACAUUUGAGGUACCUUGAUCUUACUUAUAAUCCCGGACUUAAGAUUCUCCAGAGAGUAUUUGCAAGAUUCAGAAUUUGCUAGCGCUGGAACUUGACAGCUGUCAUAUUCUUAAAGAAUUGCCAAAGAAGAUUGAAAAAUUGGUGAAUCUUACCCAUCUUUCUUGUUCUUUUUGUUGGGAAUUAACUCAUAUGCCACGUGGAAUAGGGAAGCUGACUUCACUUGAGACGUUAAGCACGUUUGUAGUGGAUAAAGAUGGGUCCCAUGGCGGUGCAGAUCUAAGUGAAUUGAGACUGCUUAACAACUUAAGGGGAGAGUUAAGAAUAGCAAAUUUGGGAUUCGUAAAAAAUGCAAAAGAGAAGUUUAAGGCUGCUAAUUUGAAAGAGAAGCAACAUUUGAGAUCGUUACAUUUACAAUGGAAUGCUGAUGAAGAUGAUGAUGAGAAGUCACUUGAAGACCUCCAGCCCCAUCCUAAUCUCAAGGAGUUCUAUAUUGCAGAAUGGAGGGGUGAUGCCAAGUCUCCAAGUUGGCUUUCUUUUCUAACAAAUCUCGUUUAUAUGACAAUAAUUCAGGGUAAUUUCAAACAAAUCCCGUCCUUUGUGCAAUUUCCUUGUCUUAAAGGGCUGACCAUAGGUGAUUGUACUAAGCUGGAGUACAUGGAUGAUAAUAGCCCAAAAGGAAGUCAAGGAGAACCACAAUCAUUCUUCCCAUCACUGAAGCAUCUUUCGCUCUUUAACUGUCCGAAUAUGAAGAGUUGGUGGAGGACGACAAAACCAAUCGAUGAUGAUUCCAACGAGGACGACACAACAGUUAUGGGAACAUCAACCAUGGGAUUUCCUUGUCUUUCCUCUUUAUUAAUUAAAAAUUGCCCUUUGACAUCAAUGCCGCUGUAUCCAUCACUCGAUGAAGAUCUAAUGUUGUCGAAUACCAGUUCAAGGCCGUUAAAGCAGACUAUCAAGAUGAACAUCAAUGCUAAGGCCCCAUUAACUUCAACCUCUUCUCUUCCACUCUCCAAAUUGAAAUCUUUCGAUGUACGCAAGAUUGAGGGGUUGGACACUCACACACUAGAUGAGUGCCUGCAACAUCUCACCAGCCUCAAAAGAUUAACAAUAAGAGAUUGCAAGGAGGCUGAUUUAGAGGGCAUGCAAUGGGAACCCCUUAAGAAUCUCUCUCAUUUGGAGAUUGAUAAUAUUCCAAUGCUGGUGUCUCUCCCCAUUGGGCUUCAACAUCUUGUUCAAUUGAAAAGAUUAAAAAUUCAUAACUGCAAUGGAUUGAGGUCACUGUUUCCUGUGUUCCAACAUCUCACUUUCCUUGAAGAGUUUGAAGUAGAGGACUGCAAGGAGCUGGAGUUAUCUGGAGCUGGCAUCCAAAUAUUCCAAGAUCAUACAAGCUUACACUCUCUACGGCUGCAAAAUAUUCCAAAGUGUCGGCAUCUUCCGGAUUGGCUUCAACACCUAACAAAUCUGCAACGGCUUUAUCUCGUAAAUUUGCCCAAUUUAACAUCUCUUCUGGACGAGAUGCGUUGCCUAACCAGUUUGGAGUAUUUACACAUACGAGAAAUUCCUCAGUUGGAGGAAAGAUGUCGGAAGGACAUUGGCGCUGAUUGGCAAAAGAUUGCUCACAUCCCCAACAUUGUGUUGUAUCAGGUUGGUCCGUCUUUGUUAUUUAUUUAUUUUGAUGACCUUAUCUGUUUUUGAAGAAAAAUAAGUGGUAUAUUGAAUCUCCAAGUCAGGGGUCUGAUGCCAUUUUUCAUUGAAGUUGGAUACUGUUAAUUUCCUUGUUAAAAUCCCUUGUUUUAAUCCUACUUUUUACUUAUCAUCUUUCAUAAUAUUUUUUGCUGAUUUGUGCAGUAAGGCAUUGGAGAAAGGCAUUACUGAACUUCAAUCAUUUUAUAUACAUAAAAAGAGGUGCUAAUUUAUCUAUUUGCUUCUAAUAAUUUAAUUCUAAAAAAUCAUUGAUGUGGAGAGAGUGGCCUAUGAAGCCUUCAAAAUGGUUGUACUAUAUGCUCUGCUUUCUUCAUUUAAGCACUUACCUAUCAUAUCUUUAUAUAUCUUUAUGUUUUCUCUUCAUGUAUGCCAACUGAUUGCUAUCUUAGAUGGCACCUAUGCUAUUGACAGGCUUUUGGAGGUACUCAAAUUCAUAAUAUUCAUUGACGCAGGGCACUCUUUUAACUGUUUGGAAUUCCAGCCAAAUUUGUUAUUGAAGGUCCAAACAGGAAAAAAAGGAGGAUGCUUCAGAAUAUUUGGUGGUGAGGUUGAAGUUGAUAAAAUGUUUCAUUAUUUAUAUAUCAACAGCAUUAUACUAAACACACAUAAGUGCAAAUAUAAGGCUGAUAAUAAUGGGAUUUGUAACGUAUUCUAUGUUGGCAUUUAUAAUUUUCAGGUUCAUUGAUGCUUUUGGAAGAGUCAUUGUUCAAGCAUGACAAUUGCCAGACAUAUUGCAUUUCAAAAUUUAUGAUUCCACUUUACAUGGAGCUUAUUAAGAGCUUGAUUCAUAGUAGAAAAACCAUUUGAGUGUUGAAUGUGAAUUUCACUUGCAUAGCUAAAAUGAGUAGGGAGAGAAUUUGCAUCAAGUGUUUGAGGGGUUAAGCUUAAAUCAUUUCUUUAUUGAAGUUCAUAGUGGAUUCAUCUUUGGGCAAAGCCCCGCAGACGUAGGAUGAGUUCCGAACUGCGUAAACAUAUUAAUUGUGUUUUUUAUUUUCCUUGUUGCAUAAUAUGUACCAACUCAGGAAAAAACACAUUUUUAAUGUUCCAAACAGUAUUCAAAUGCAAGGAUGCACAAUUGAUUAUGAGACAAAUUCCUCCGUUGGAAGGACAUUGGCGCUGGUUGGCAUAAAAUUGCUCACAUCCCACGCAUUUCACUGCAUCCCUAAGAAACAAAUGGAAAUACCUCACACAUUAAAAUACAGACAUCACAAUUUCACUGCAGAAACAAAUAAUGCUACUCAUAAUUUAUCCCCUAAGAAACUUAGCCACCAUGAAAAGCUCUAUUUGUGAACAGAUCAAAAGAUCACACACACAAAAAAAAGAAAAGCAAAUGACAUGAAGUGUUAAGUGAGUACAAUUCUCAUCAAAAUUGAAAUAAUAUACUACUAAUUACAUGAUAGCCACCGUUUUCAAAAGAGAAUUUUUGAACUCACUGGAGAUCUCACAACAAUUGCUUCAACUUCUUGAUCGGCGGCGAUUCCACGACUAUUACUAGAUGAAAAUCUGUUGUAAUCAUUGGGAUGAACAAAUGGCGGCUUCGUCGAAUCGAAGGCCAGGUGACGACUUAUCGGCAAAACAACCGGAGGAACCGUCGAAUCUGGUACUGCUGAAGCCGUAGGAGGAGGUUGAUACGGCAGCGUGAGACCAUGCCGGACAUGAAGGUUUAUGAUAUCGUGGGGAGACAAGGAGGGUAUAAUAGCAAUAGGGAAAUAGGAAGAGAGAGAAAGUGAGGGUUUUAGUUCAGACAUUAGAGAGAGAGUAGAAAAGGAGGGAAAAGAGAGUGAAUCUUUUUGUAUAUAAUUAUAAGUUAAUGUGCUAAUUUCAUUUGUUUUUACCUUUUUGAACUCUUACUUUUUUUCAAUUUUUCAAUUUCAUCCUAAAAUAAACUUCAAAUAUGUAUAUAAGGGUUAAAGUACUGGUACUAUAGGGACUGCAUACAACUUAGCCCCUCACCAUUAAAUGGUUAAUUUAUUACCUGUACUAUUAAAAUUGAUCAAAUAAAGUUAAAUUAUAACAAAGUCAACAUUUGUUUUAUUCAUUAUUUUGAAACUUUUAUAGGUAAAAAAAAAUUACUAAUAAUUUGGUGAUCAUUUUGUAAUUUUUUACAUAGUUGAAUGAUUUUAAUACGGUUUACCCAAAACAGAAUAUUAACGACGUCAAAUAGAAAACGAGAAAACAAAUUUAAAACAAAGAUAAACAAAACGAUGUACUUAACGACGUUACUUCCUUCUUCUCCAACCAAAACGCCGUCGCUUUGUUCCCCAAACGUAAAACAUGGUGGGACCAUUUCCAACCAUAUUCUCAAUUUAUUAAUUAUUUUUUAAAAUUAAUUUAUAAAUUCUAAAAUAUUUUAAUUAAGUUUUGAAAGUAUUAGUAUUAUAUCAAUAAAAUCAUUUCAUUUUUGUAGCUGUCAAUUUAGGUUUUAAAUUUCUGUUCUCAUUUGACAUGGAUUAAAUUGUAAAUACUUGUGUACUCAUCAUAUUGGUAACUUGAUUCUAACAUAUUAAAAACACGACGAGAGUAUAAAAUUUAAGAGGAUUAUUUCUUCUUCUUUUUUUAACACAUUAGAUUAAACAAAAUGCACACUUUUAAGAUAUUAAAUUAAUGGAUUUUUAUAUUUGAUGUAUCAUAUAAUUAUAUUAUACACACAAUAAUAUCACUUUAUUAAAACAAUAAAAUUAUUUAUUCAUUAAAAAUAUAAUAAUAUGAUAUCGUUUGAUUCAUUAAUUGUUAAAUAAAAUUCUUAAAUUAUUUAGCUUUAUCCCCUGACAUAUAUUUUAGUUGUAUCUCGCCCCUCCAUCAAGCCAUUUUGUGUACAUUAUGUGGACUAUGAUUUAAUGAAAGGGCUUCACGCAACACCCAUUGAGCAAUUCCAAGAGUAAUGAAUGCUUAGCUUAGCUCCAUUCAAUUACCAAGUGUUGAGGAUAUGACAAUAUGGAUGCCCUGCAACAAUUACAACCCUUUUUAACAUCUAUUCCAAAGCUGGUGUCUCCCCCCCUUGGGCUUCAACAUCUUUUUCGAUUGAAAACAUUGGGAAUUCAUGAAUGCCAUGGAUUGAGGUCACUCUUUCCUGUGUUCCAACAUCUCACUUUCCUUGAAGAGUUUUCAAUAAGUAACUGCAAGGAGCUGGAGUUAUCUGCACCUAACUUCCAAAUAUUCCAAGAUCAUACAAGCCUGCGCUCUCUAGCGCUGGCAAAGAUUCCAAAGUGUCGCCAUCUUCCGGAGUGGCUUCAACAUCAAACAAAUCUGCCAAGGCUUAUUCUCUGUGAUUUGCCUAAUUUAACAUCGCUUCCGGACGAGAACCAGUUUGGAAGAGUUCUUUAUGAAACGAAUUCCUCAGUUGGAGGAAAGAUGUCGGAAGGGGAUUGGUGCCGAUUGGCAUAAGAUUGCUCGUAUCGCUACGGGUUGGUAUAUUGACUCUCCAAGUACCGCCUCUACAUGCUUAUGCUCCCAUUACUACCAUCCAUAUAUUCGCUACACAUUUUCUUUUUCAACUUUAAUUUUAAUUCCUUUGUUUAAGGGUUGGGUUUAGACUUCAACAUUCAAGGACUAUAUUUUAUAUAAAUGAAAAUAAUAAAAUAUAAUAAAAUUAUUUAUAUCAAAUAAUAAUUAAAAAUAUAUUUAUGAUAAUAAAUUUACAUGUAUUUAAUAUAUCAUUAUAUAAAUAUUAAUUUGUAAUAUAUUUAAUUUUUAUAACAAUUAAAUAAUUAAAUUUAUAAUUAUCAUAUGAUAUGUACUUAUAUAACACCUCUAGUAGGUUAUAGUGAGGAAAACAAUCUCAUUGCAGGUUAAAUUUUUAAGAAAAUCUUUUAUGUUCAGUUUGGUGCAAUAAAAUCAAGUGAUAUUAGUUUAAUUCGAUUAUAUUUUUUUAUCCGUCCAUUAUAAUUUAGUUUAGUUCAAUUUUUUAUUAUAAAUUUUUAUAAUUAUUUUAAUAAAAUAAACUUUAUUUUACGGCUUUUAAAUAUCAUUUGACAAAUUUUCAAAGUUUUUUUCAUAGAUAUUUUUUAAAAUUUUUUAAGUAGAUAAAAAUAAUUAAAUACUUUUAUAUAAUAUUUUUAAAAUUUAUUUAUUUAUUUUCACUAUUUUUAAAUAUAAAAUAUUUAUUUUUAUAUUAUAAAAAAUAAAUUUAUUUAUAAAUUAAAAUAAAGAAUAGAAUUUGGUUCGGUUUCAAAUAAUUGUGAUUUUUUAAUUUGUAUUCCAUAAACCGUCUAAACACCUUGAUUUAGAUCAAUUUUUAAUUAUUUUUAUUUUAUUUACUCAACCCUACUCACGAGAGGUAAAUAAUCAUAUAAAGGAGAACUAACAUGUUUAAAAGAAUCUGAACAAAUUAUAUUUAGGCUCUCUUUAUAUAGACUGUGAGAUUAGCUCUAAUGAGGUUGAAAACAUAUAUAACAAUAAUAAGAUUAGAAACUAUUCCGCACCAUCUUGAAUUUUAGCACUAAAAAAUACAAAAAAAAAAAAGGAGAAGAAAAACAACCAUUUUUUUUGCCAUAAUGAUUCUUUUGGUCUCCAACUUUAUAUAAAAAGUUAUUUCAACUCUCCAUUUAAUUUUUCGUUUCUUUUAGUUCUUAAACUUGUAAUUUUUGUCAAAUCACCCCAAAAUGAGUGAAAAAUUAACAUAUAUUGAUUUUGCUAAUGUAGCAUACACGCGGAUUGCCAUGUAUAUGCCACAUAAGCAAUUAAUUAUUUUUUUAAAAAAUUCAAAAAAAUAUAUUAAAAAUUAAAAAAAUUAUAAGAAAAUAUUUUUUAGUAUUUUUUAAAAAUAAUUAAAUGCUAACGUGACAUACACGUGGUAAUCCACCUAUAUGUCAUGUCAACAAAGUUAACAAACGUUAACUUUUUCAUCCAUUUUGAAUGGUUUGACAAAAAAAUGUAAGUUCAAAGACUAAAAGAGAAGGAAAUUAAAUAGAGAGCUAAAAUAAUUCAUUUAUAAAAUUGGAAUGCCAAAAAGUUAUUAUACUUUUAUUUUUCAAAAUAAUAAAAUUUCUAUUAAUAACACUUUAAACAUAAGUGCAUCUGCAUUUGCUUCAUGAUUGUUCUUUCUAUAAAUUCACCAUAAUCAUGUUAAACAAGUAAUUUAAUUAGUGAGGUUAAGUAUUGUAACAGUGAGAUUAAAGUUAAUUGUAGAAUAUGUAUAUAAAUUCAAAUGUAAAUAUACCGAUAAAAUGAGAAUAAAAAAUCACUAUUAAAGCGGAAUUAGAUGCCCUCAUCGAUGGUUUUCGGUGGCUUGCUCAAUUUAUUAAAGCCAAUAAUGUCAUUUUUGAAAUAGAUUGUGCUAGCAUUAUCAACCGCUUUAGUUUUCACAAGGAGGACAUAACGAUCCUUGAUCACUGCAUCAAGGAGCUCACAAGAUGCUUGAUUCUUUGGUUUCUUUCGAGGUCAAAUGGGUGAAACAUGGUUAUAACAAAUUAGCCAAUUCUCUUUGUAAUUAGGCUCUUUCUAAGUGUAGUAAUUUAUCUUUUGAGAUGAAUUAUCCUAGCGAUCGAUAUUCAUAACAUUGUAAUUUAUGAUGCAACUUAAAAUGAGGUAGUGACCUUUGGGUUUUUUUAUUAUUAUAAAAAAACACUAUUAAAUAUAUUAAGUUAAAAUACAUGUAUAUGUAAAAUAAAUAAUUAAAAAUAUAUUUAAAAAUAAAAUAUCUUAAAUAAACAAACCAAAAUCAUCCAAUUCACAAUAAAACAAUUAUAUGUGUAUUAAAAUAAUAAAAUAGAUAUGAGCAGUGGAAGCAAUCUUCAUGAUGGUAUAAGUAAUGAUUUUUCCUUCAAUACCAAUUAAAUACAUUCCCAUGGAGCUGACAUAAGCCCAAUAUCUUUCCACAUGUGGUGUUAAAAAAUGAAAUUAAUUUUUCUUUUGUUGGCAAUAGUAGCCGAGCUAAAAAAAAUUUUAGUGGGAAUUAAAUUAUAUAUUUUUAUAGUAAUAUAUAUUUAUAAUUUUUAAAUAGUUAAAUUAAAUUUUUAUAAUUUUUUUAGAUGAUCAAAUUAUAAUUUUAUCAUUAUUAAUUUAAAAUUUUAUAAAUUAUAAAAUGUCUAAAUUAAAAAUUUACCAUUUUAGGAGUCUCUACUAGGUUUCGCCGGUGAUAGGCAACUUGUCAAGAAUGACCAUCCAAGCUAUAACAAAAUGUUUUGGGAUAUGCUAAAUCAACCUCUUACAUUUUACUUUGAUAUAUUGCAUAGACAAACAAUUAUAUUAAUCCAAUGUAAAAAUAUAUAUAUGUAUGCAUUUUUUUACAUAUGUAAAGUUGAAUCAGAAUUAAAAUUUCAUGUGAAAAUUAUACCACAUCAAAAUUCAUGUAUCAAAUUACUCAUUGAACAAAAAUUCAUGUAUAAAUUCAAAUUUUUUCCCCUAAUAAUAAACAAAUCAAAAGCUUCGAUCCUUUCUUAAUAAAUAUAUGUAUAUUUAAAAGAAAAAUAAAAUGCUACUACUAUUAAUAACAAAUAUGUCUUGACUUGCAAGGAAUGGUAGUUAGAACUCUUAUCAAUACCUGUUUGACACAGAUUCAAACAAUAUUACCUCCAUCCCCACUCUUAAUAUUAUAUAAAAAAAUUAAUAGCAAAUAUAAUUAACAUACCCAUUAAUAUAAAAAAAUUUGAUAAUAAGGGUAUACUAAAAUAGUAAUGAACAGUAACUAUUGUCGUAAUAUAUAAUUAUAGACACCAAGUUACUUUAAAAGACAAAAUCAAAGCUAAGUAGGUAGGUGAGAAAUGUGAACAUGAUAAUCACUUGUAAGUUAAUUGAAUUCGAUUCAAAAAAGAUUUAAAUUUGAUUUAGUAGUCAUUAAGUUAUGUUUAAAUUAUUGAUUUAAUCGGAUUGGGAUUUAAUAAAAUUUGAUUCUAAUGGUGAAUGAGUUUUAUUGAAUUUUUUAUUUUAUAUAUUCAACCAAAGUUAAACUCAAAAAUAAAAUAUUGAAUUUAAGUUAAACUCGCGCAAUUACACAAAGUAAGUGGGAAGAAGGUUUAGAAAGACUUCAAUCAAAACACCUUGGAUUCCAUGGGAUUUGUCUCCUUUUUCUCUUUUCUUUCGUAGCCUUUUCAUUAAUUUCAAUUAUUUCUACGGCUCCACAUUGUGCAGAGCACCCCAAGUGUCAUCAUCCCAACUUUGCCUCCAUUCAGAAAUUUGUGUCACAUGGAGGGACCAUUUCCCACCAAUCAACAGUACUUUAACAUGGAGGGACCAUUUCCCACCAAUCAACAGUACUUUUUAUUUAAUUAUACUACUUACACAAAGUGGGAAGAAGGUUUAGAAAGAAUUGAAUGCAUGGGCCUCAAUCAAAACACCUUGGAUUCCAUGGGAUUUGUCUCCUUUUUCUCUUUUCUUUCAUACCUUUUUCAUUAAUUUCAAUUAUUUGUACGUUGUGCAGAGCACCCCAAGUGUCAUCAUCCCAACUUUGUCUCCAUUCAGAAAUUUGUGUCACACAGUAAACAUGGAGGGACCACUUCCCACCAAUCAACAUUACUUUUUAUUUAAUUAUACUACUUGCUGGGUGGAUGGAUUCACAUCUGUGUUUCAUCUUGUUGGAAUCAUUCUCAUUUUAGUCCUCCUCUUUCACUAAUCAAACACUUUUUGCCUCGAUUUCAGUUUGAACCAACAAUGGCCGAAGCAAUUGCUUUCGACAUUGCCGCAGAGCUCAUUCUUAAGUUGAGCUCUCGUGCUCUCUCUCAAGUUGGGCUGUGGUGGAAUCUAAAACAUGACAUCCUCGACCUCAAACGCACUGUCUGCCAAAUCAAAGCUGUGCUUCUUGACGCAGAAGAGAAAUCGGUGACCGACAAUCUCGUCAAAGGUUGGCUUGAAGAGCUGAAAGAUGUACUUUAUGAUGCCGACGACUUGCUCGAUGAUUUCUCUACUGAAGCUUUGCGGAAAGAUCUAUCGGGUGGGAACAAGCUGACGAAAGAGGUACGCCUUUUCUUCUCAACCUCAAACCAAUUUGCUUAUGGUCUCAAAAUGGGUCGGAAAAUGAAGGCCAUUAAGGCGAGAUUAGCUUCAAUUGAAAGGGAGGCCAACACUUUUGGCUUCAUUCCGCGUGAUCGCCCCGCGGAAACCUCUUUCAUGACUAAAAGGAGGCAGCAAACGCACUCUUUUGAGCGUGACGAUGACAUAAUAGGGAGGGAUGAUGAUAAAGCAGCUCUUCUAAAACUCGUGUUGGAGUUUCAAAGUGAAGAGAAUGUUUAUAUCAUUCCAAUUGUGGGGUUUGGAGGGUUAGGGAAGACUGCUUUGGCCCAACUUGUCUAUAACCAUGAAAUGGUCAAAAAUCAUUUUGACUUGACGAUGUUUGCGUGUGUUCCAGAUGAUUUUGAUGUGAAAGUUAUUGUAGCAAACAUUAUCAAAUCUGUGACUAAUCAAGCACCUGAUCAAAAUCUUGAAAUGGAUCAAUUGCAAACACAACUUCGAGAUAAAAUUGAUGGAAAAAAAUAUUUGCUUGUUUUGGAUGACAUUUGGAAUGAGGACCCAGAAAGGUGGUCUAGGCUAAAGAAGUUAUUGAUGGGUGGGGCUAAAGGGAGUAGGAUAAUAGUAACUACUCGAUCUCUAAGGGUAGCGGAGAUAACUAAUAAAUGUCAAUCCCAUGUUUUGAAAUUGAAAGGCCUGUCUGAUGAUGAUGCUUGGUCUUUGUUCAAAAAGAUAGCAUUUGAGCAAGGAUAUGCAGACUCAACAAAUUCAGCCUUUGUGGAAGUAGGGAGACAGAUUUCGGAAAGGUGUGGUGGGGUUCCCUUAGCCAUAAGGACGAUAGCUGGUACAUUAUCUUUGAAGAAAACUGCAAAUGAGUGGCAUUCUUUCAAAGAAAAUGAACUUGCUAAAAUAUCACAAAUUGAAGAACUUCUACCUAUCCUGAAAUUGAGUUAUGAUCAUCUCCCGUCUCAUUUGAAGCAUUGCUUUGCUUAUUGCCGAUUGUAUCCAAAAGAUUACAGAAUUGAAGUACAAGAGCUUGUUCAAUUUUGGAUUGCACAGG
This 11282-nucleotide long non-coding RNA is filed under the name Gossypium barbadense (sea-island cotton). Its description in RNAcentral is "long non-coding RNA (GBAR_LNC023050)". Lineage: Eukaryota; Viridiplantae; Streptophyta; Magnoliopsida; Malvales; Malvaceae. The record is from RNAcentral.